UAUGUUAGAUGCCCUUAGUGACUUUUGACUAUGUCAUUAAGUGAAAGAAUUGAUGUUGCUACUUUGGCAUGUUUCCUACGGCUAUGAGUGAUGCGGCUUUACGGGGCAUUGCUGGGAAAGCAAUCAGUUCUCAACUCAGUGGCAUGAGGGCUCAAGGAAGACUAGUUGAAUUACAUUAAAACACUUUGACUCAUUGUCGACAGGUUGUAUCGCUUCAGUAUAGCGAAACAAUCAUGAGUAUAGUGUCAUAAUGUGCGCAACAGAGGUUAGCAUGGCUCUUCGAGGGAUUAGAGAUGCUGAACCUGAUGUAAUUCAAUGGUCUAGGGUAUCACGAGUCUAAUAUUUUUUCUUUUUGAGGGUUGAUGUCUCUAUGCUGGCCGGAUGCGGUUUCUAGUAUAGAGCUCCCGAAAUGCAGGUUGACUCGGCGGUCGCACUGUUCAUUUUUCUGUAUGAAUAGAAUUAAUAGUGGUGUGAUGUUGAGGAAGUGGUUACGAUGGCAUCGAUCCCGUCAUGUGCGAGUGGGAGAUGUUGGCAUUCGGUUAAAUCGAAUCGGGUACGCCCAUAAGCGGGUUCGAUCCGACGGAUGUUUUGUUAUCUAAUUGGAUUAGAAUUAAUCUCGCUUUCAAAUUGGAAAGUUAGUUAGAGAUAAAUCCUAGUCAUAUUAGGAUAACAAUUAAUAACCGAUUUGGCUUUAUCUCCAACGCCAUUAGGAUUUUGGAAUUCCUUAUAAAUAUGCGGGCGAUCCCACAUAACGAAACAUACACGGAAAGAACGAAAAAAGAGAGAAUAAGAAAAUAAUAGAGAGAAACCACUUCCUCCAUUAACCUAUUAUUCUAGAGGGACUUGAACGGUGGAUUUGCGAUCGUGCUCGUUUGUAGUUCGAUCCACCGCGAGUUCGUGGAGCGUGAGAAGACAUUCAAGGACGAUCCGAGGACACGUGAACCAAUCUAAACGAUCCGGGCUCAUCGCGUUGUUGCGCGAAUCGCUUCCGCAAAAGGUACGAACCAAUACUUCCGUUGCGUUCUACAAAAACUUUCAAAUACGUGCAAGGUGGUUUCGGUUGCUCCCAAAUCCAUGCAAGGUAAUAUCGCUCUUUACAUGUUCGGUAUUUAUUCGAUAAAUGUCAAUUUAGAGGCAUUUGGCCAGUUAGGAAUAUAUUAGAUAUUUUAAAAGUUUUGAAGGGUAUAUUUGAUACUAUUUCUUUUUUAUAUAUGAUCAAGAAGAUAGACAAAGGACGUCGGAGUUAG
This 1247-nucleotide long non-coding RNA is filed under the name Ananas comosus (pineapple). RNAcentral's name for it is "long non-coding RNA (ACOM_LNC043217)". The record is from RNAcentral. Lineage: Eukaryota; Viridiplantae; Streptophyta; Magnoliopsida; Poales; Bromeliaceae.